GUAAGAGAAAGGGAGGGGGGGGGGGAUAAGCCCAAUUUCAUUUAAACAGCUCACCCCCUAGCACUUAUUCAAUACUACACGCACUACAUAGACACUACUACAUACACUACACAGACACUACUACAUACACAUACACUACAUAAACAUUGCAUUCACUAGACACUGCAUACACCACACAAGCACUAGUAGAUACACUACAAACACACAAUAUAUUUAAUAUACACACUGCAUAC
This is a non-coding RNA of Pelobates cultripes (western spadefoot toad), 233 nucleotides long. The record is from the annotation of a GenBank genome assembly. Lineage: Eukaryota; Metazoa; Chordata; Amphibia; Anura; Pelobatidae.